UGGGGAAUUUUGGACAAUGGGGGAAACCCUGAUCCAGCCAUCCCGCGUGUGCGACGAAGGCCUUCGGGUUGUAAAGCACUUUUGGCAGGAAAGAAACGUCAUGGGUUAAUACCCCGUGAAACUGACGGUACCUGCAGAAUAAGCACCGGCUAACUACGUGCCAGCAGCCGCGGUAAUACGUAGGGUGCAAGCGUUGAUCGGAAUUACUGGGCGUAAAGCGUGCGCAGGCGGUUCGGAAAGCAAGAUGUGAAAUCCCAGAGCUCAACUUUGGAACUGCAUAUGUAACUACCGGGCUGGAGUGUGGCAGAGGGAGGUGGAAUUCCGCGUGUAGCAAUGAAAUGCGUAGAUAUGCGGGGGAACACCGAUGGCGAAGGCAGCCUGCUGAGAUAACACUGAAGCUCAUGCACGAAAGCGUGGGGAGCAAACAGG
Molecule: ribosomal RNA, 429 nt
Filed under: Acidobacteriota bacterium
Lineage: Bacteria; Pseudomonadati; Acidobacteriota
Description: Acidobacteria bacterium partial 16S ribosomal RNA
Rfam family: Bacterial small subunit ribosomal RNA
Source: RNAcentral